UACAGAGGGGGCAAGCGUUAUUCGGAAUUAUUGGGCGUAAAGGGCGCGUAGGCGGCUUUUCAAGUGACGGGUGAAAUCCCUCGGCUUAACCGAGGAACUGCCUGUCAGACUGGAAGGCUUGAGACCGGGAGAGGUGAGUGGAAUUCCCAGUGUAGCGGUGAAUGCGUAGAUAUUGGGAGGAACACCAGUGGCGAAGGCGGCUCACUGGACCGGAACUGACGCUGAGGCGCGAAAGCGUGGGGAGCAAACAGG
RNAcentral lists this ribosomal RNA (252 nucleotides) under uncultured bacterium. RNAcentral's name for it is "partial 16S ribosomal RNA". It matches the Rfam family "Bacterial small subunit ribosomal RNA", at positions 524 to 776 of the family's 1533-position model. The record is from RNAcentral.